RNAcentral lists this ribosomal RNA (301 nucleotides) under uncultured bacterium. RNAcentral's name for it is "partial 16S ribosomal RNA". It matches the Rfam family "Bacterial small subunit ribosomal RNA", at positions 509 to 807 of the family's 1533-position model. The record is from RNAcentral.
CAGUCGCCACGGGAAUACGAAGGGGGCUAGCGUUGCUCGGAAUCACUGGGCGUAAAGGGUGCGUAGGCGGGUCUUUAAGUCAGGGGUGAAAUCCUGGAGCUCAACUCCAGAACUGCCUUUGAUACUGAAGAUCUUGAGUUCGGGAGAGGUGAGUGGAACUGCGAGUGUAGAGGUGAAAUUCGUAGAUAUUCGCAAGAACACCAGUGGCGAAGGCGGCUCACUGGCCCGAUACUGACGCUGAGGCACGAAAGCGUGGGGAGCAAACAGGAUUAGAUACCCCGGUAGUCCCUGUCUCUUAUAC